GCUUGUCUCAAAGAUUAAGCCAUGCAUGUCUAAGUGUAAAUAAGUCUAUACUGUGAAACUGCGAAUGGCUCAUUAAAUCAGUUAUCGUUUAUUUGAUGAUCUCUUACUACUUGGAUAACCGUAGUAAUUCUAGAGCUAAUACAUGCACAAAAUCCCGACUUACGAAGGGAUGUAUUUAUUAGAUUUAAAGCCGACAUCUUUUGGUGAUUCAUAAUAACUUUUCGAACCUCAUGCCUUUAUGGUGGAGGUGAUUCAUUCAAAUUUCUGCCCUAUCAAUUGGCGAUGGUAGGAUAGAGGCCUACCAUGGUGUUAACGGGUGACGGGGGAUUAGGGUUCGAUUCCGGAGAGGCAGCCUGAGAAACGGCUACCACAUCCAAGGAAGGCAGCAGG
Molecule: ribosomal RNA, 390 nt
Filed under: uncultured Cryptomonadales
Lineage: Eukaryota; Cryptophyceae; Cryptomonadales
Description: partial small subunit ribosomal RNA
Rfam family: Eukaryotic small subunit ribosomal RNA
Source: RNAcentral